AGAGGGUUGGCUGAGUGGUCGAAAGCACCGGUCUUGAAAACCGGCGAGGUGAGAGCCUCCGAGGGUUCGAAUCCCUCAUCCUCUGCCA
Molecule: transfer RNA, 88 nt
Filed under: Arcobacter sp. FWKO B
Lineage: Bacteria; Pseudomonadati; Campylobacterota; Epsilonproteobacteria; Campylobacterales; Arcobacteraceae
Description: tRNA-Ser
Rfam family: tRNA
About the family: Transfer RNA (tRNA) molecules are approximately 80 nucleotides in length. Their secondary structure includes four short double-helical elements and three loops (D, anti-codon, and T loops).
Source: RNAcentral